Molecule: ribosomal RNA, 1376 nt
Filed under: metagenome
Description: bacterial SSU rRNA
Rfam family: Bacterial small subunit ribosomal RNA
Source: RNAcentral
UACCUUUCAGUGGGGGAUAACGUAGCGAAAGUUACGCUAAUACCGCAUAUUCUGUGAGCAGGAAAGCAGGGGAUCGCAAGACCUUGCGCUGAUUGAGCGGCCGAUGUCAGAUUAGCUAGUUGGUGAGGUAAAGGCUCACCAAGGCGACGAUCUGUAGCGGGUCUGAGAGGAUGAUCCGCCACACUGGAACUAGACACGGUCCAGACUCCUACGGGAGGCAGCAGUGGGGAAUUUUGGACAAUGGGGGCAACCCUGAUCCAGCCAUGCCGCGUGAGUGAAGAAGGCCUUCGGGUUGUAAAGCUCUUUCGGCCGGGAAGGAAUCGUAUGGGUUAAUACCCUGUGCGGAUGACGGUACCGGCAUAAGAAGCACCGGCUAACUACGUGCCAGCAGCCGCGGUAAUACGUAGGGUGCGAGCGUUAAUCGGAAUUACUGGGCGUAAAGCGUGCGCAGGCGGUUUUGUAAGACAGGCGUGAAAUCCCCGGGCUCAACCUGGGAACUGCGCUUGUGACUGCAAGGCUAGAGUACGGCAGAGGGGGGUGGAAUUCCACGUGUAGCAGUGAGAUGCGUAGAGAUGUGGAGGAACACCAAUGGCGAAGGCAGCCCCCUGGGUCGAUACUGACGCUCAUGCACGAAAGCGUGGGUAGCAAACAGGAUUAGAUACCCUGGUAGUCCACGCCCUAAACGAUGUCAACUAGGUGUUGGGUGGGUAAAACCAUUUAGUGCCGGAGCUAACGCGUGAAGUUGACCGCCUGGGGAGUACGGCCGCAAGGUUAAAACUCAAAGGAAUUGACGGGGACCCGCACAAGCGGUGGAUGAUGUGGAUUAAUUCGAUGCAACGCGAAAAACCUUACCUACCCUUGACAUGUCCAGAAGCCUGAAGAGAUUUAGGUGUGCCCGAAAGGGAGCUGGAACACAGGUGCUGCAUGGCUGUCGUCAGCUCGUGUCGUGAGAUGAUGGGUUAAGUCCCGCAACGAGCGCAACCCUUGUCGUUAAUUGCCAUCAUUUAGUUGGGCACUUUAACGAGACUGCCGGUGACAAACCGGAGGAAGGUGGGGAUGACGUCAAGUCCUCAUGGCCCUUAUGGGUAGGGCUUCACACGUCAUACAAUGGUCGGUACAAAGGGUUGCCAAGCCGCGAGGUGGAGCCAAUCCCAGAAAGCCGAUCGUAGUCCGGAUUGCGGGCUGCAACUCGCCUGCAUGAAGUCGGAAUCGCUAGUAAUCGUGGAUCAGCAUGUCACGGUGAAUACGUUCCCGGGUCUUGUACACACCGCCCGUCACACCAUGGGAGCGGGUUCCGCCAGAAGUAGGUAGCCUAACCGCAAGGGGGGCGCUUACCACGGCGGGGUUCGUGACUGGGGUGAAGUCGAAACAAGGUA